AUGGCCAAGCCCGCAGAGGCAGAAGCGAUGGCUCCCCUUCGUGCCCUCCCGGAGGAGAUCGUGAUAUGGGAGAUUCUCGUCCGCCUGCCCCCUAAAGACCUCCUCCGCUGCCGCACCGUCUGCCGCGCCUGGCGCAGCAUCACCUCCACCCGCGACUUCCUCCUCGCCCAACAUGCCCGCCAGCCCGCCCUCCUCCUCCUCGACGACUGCACCAACUAUGCAAAAGGCAUCUCCGACCCGCUAAACAUCGUCUGCUUCGACCAUCGGGCAGGGGUGGCCACCCCCGACCAGCUCCAGCCCGUCGCCCGACUUACUAAGCAGUGCUCCUUUCAUCUAGAUGCCGCCUUGAUGAGGGUCGACUGCGGAGGCGACAAUAUCUCCUACUAUCAUCCGGUUGCCUCCUGCGAUGGCCUCCUCAUCCUCUGCGUCGAGGACAGCGGCUUCUUCAUCUGCAAUCCGGCCACUCGCCAGUAUGCUCGCCUCCCGUUCCCUUUGGGUCAUGUGUGGUGGCUCCUAGGAAUGUACCCUCACCCCCCUACCGACGAGUACAGACUAUUGCUCUACUCAUACAAGCGUAUCACAGACGAUGAGCGUCAAGAUGCGUGCCACGUCUUGGCAUUGGGCUCCGGCCAUCCACCGAGGCAUAUCGGGUUGCCAGAUGCAAUUAUGCUCGGAUUAGACGAGUAG
RNAcentral lists this ribosomal RNA (687 nucleotides) under Triticum aestivum (bread wheat). RNAcentral describes it as "partial small subunit ribosomal RNA". Lineage: Eukaryota; Viridiplantae; Streptophyta; Magnoliopsida; Poales; Poaceae. The record is from RNAcentral.